UACGGGGGGGGCAAGCGUUGUUCGGAAUUACUGGGCGUAAAGGGCUCGUAGGUGGCCAACUAAGUCACACGUGAAAUCCCCAGGCUUAACCUGGGAACUGCGUGUGAUACUGGAUGGCUUGAAUCCGGGAGAGGGAUGCGGAAUUCCUGGUGUAGCGGUGGAAUGCGCAGAUAUCAGGAGGAACACCAAUAGCGAAGGCAGCUCGCUGGGACGUUACUGACACUGGGGCGCGAAAGCGUGGGGAGCGAACAGG
This 253-nucleotide ribosomal RNA is filed under the name uncultured bacterium. RNAcentral describes it as "partial 16S ribosomal RNA". It matches the Rfam family "Bacterial small subunit ribosomal RNA", at positions 524 to 776 of the family's 1533-position model. The record is from RNAcentral.